UCCCUGGUGGCUCAGAUGGUAAAGCGUCUGCCUGCAAUGCGGAAGACCCGGGUUCGAUCCCUGGGUUGGGAA
This 72-nucleotide transfer RNA is filed under the name Ovis aries (sheep). It matches the Rfam family "tRNA". Rfam says of the family: Transfer RNA (tRNA) molecules are approximately 80 nucleotides in length. Their secondary structure includes four short double-helical elements and three loops (D, anti-codon, and T loops). Lineage: Eukaryota; Metazoa; Chordata; Mammalia; Artiodactyla; Bovidae. The record is from Rfam by way of RNAcentral.